UUGACUUUUUUCUAGUCAAACUUUUUUAAGUUUGACUAAGUUUAUAGAAAUUUAUAGCAACAUUUCCAACACAAAACAAACAUAUUACCAAAAUAUAUUCAAUGUCAUAUUUAAUGAAACUAAUUUGGUGUUGUAGAUGCUGCUAAAUUUUCUAUAAACUUGGUUAAACCUAAAAAGUUUGACUAGGAAAGAAGUCAA
Non-coding RNA from Oryza glumipatula, 198 nucleotides. Lineage: Eukaryota; Viridiplantae; Streptophyta; Magnoliopsida; Poales; Poaceae. The record is from Rfam.